Molecule: long non-coding RNA, 3423 nt
Organism: Alligator mississippiensis (American alligator)
Lineage: Eukaryota; Metazoa; Chordata; Crocodylia; Alligatoridae
Exons: 3
Source: RefSeq, a predicted model, not a curated record
UAAUUUUGGGGACGGGACAGCGAAUGAAAAUGAAGGGAGGAGCCAGGCAGGGAAAUCGGCUUACAAAGACUACUGAAUUGAGAUCCGGAUAUCAGGCCUCUUGUACCUCCUGGAUUAGUCGUCUGCAGCAAACUGCAGAGUGACUGCACAAGAGGGAAGGACACUGCCCAGUCAGCGUCCACUGUUAAAAUAUUCUGCUUUCCCAGCUUGUGACUCUCACGGUUUCUGAGACUUCGGGUCUCUCUUCCCGAGGCGACGGUGCAGGGACGGUAGAAGCAAGGGGUGGCCAGGCACUCAUGCACUACCGCUCGCCAAGAAAGUGCACAUUGUCGCCCUGAGGUAGCCCAGGGGUCCGGGCUUGGGGCACGCACGUAGGAUGCCUGCCAUGGAUUUGGGAGUGUCUGCAGGCCCGGGCUGAGGAGUCUGGGCAGGAGAGUACUUGCAGGCAGUCGAGCCGCACAGACUCGUACGGUCGAGUCCUGCUUCUUCAUCAGGAUUCGGAGCCGAUUUGACCUGAGAGACCAGCAGUGUAUAAACCUUGUCUCAGGCGGAGGAGUCCUAUUUAAUCAAAAUAGCAGGAAGUCAUCAUAUUGUUCAUCUACAACAAAAAAUGCAAGUGCUUUCUUUCAACCUUUCCUUUCUUUUUGUAGAAAGCAUAAGUGCGCAUGGCAAGUUGGAGAAACGAAAACAAGAAAUCUGUCCCAAGUGACUUACAGUUUGUUACCCCAAAGUGGUGACCAUUCAGUGUUUAGAAAGACACAGACUUCAGCCUGUCUGUGACCAGGACCUUUUCUGCAAUCUAACAGAAUUAAGGUACAGCUUCAGUUCCCUCAGUGGUCGCCGCUCAGGUCAGAAAAGAGGCGAAAGACAGAUCUACAGCCUGCCCUUUUAUUGUUCACACCCCAGAAUUCAAAGAAUAUACACUUUUUUCAGUGCCUAUCUAGCUAUGUAAAAUAGUGCAAUAUAGAUUCUCACCUUUAUCAGCUGGGGAUAUUUGGGGAGCGGAAGUGGGGUAGCAGCUUGCCGACGUGCAGCGUGUCAUCUUCAUUUGUGGAAUUCUCCAAUUUUCCUUCCAGCUCACAUCCUAUAUUUACAGGGAGCUUAUUUUAAUGUUUUAAUAAACAUUAAAACAUUCAUUCAGAUUUCUUUGUUUCACUGAAACUUUAGCACCUGGAAUGACACCAGUCCUCUGGUGGAUGGAGAAGAUGUCAGUUAGCUGGGAUUGAUGUCCUUGUGAAGUUACAACUCCGCAGCAGAGGAUUUCUUAUCUCCUCCUUUGCUAUCACUGUUUGCAAACCCCCUGUUUUCUUUUUGCCUUUGUUCAUGGGCUUCACUGACCAGGCUGCUUUGUUUCUAAAGUUUAUCUAAGACAUUUAAAAUAAAUGCCUCUAUUAUAGCAAAGCCACUGGUAUAUUGAGUGCUCUUGGUUCUAACAGUCAUUCCUACUAACAUUAUCAAACUAAAGGUGUGAUAUAUUGCUUUUCAAUGAUCUGUUGUAAGCCUUCCUUACUAUUAUGUCAUCUUUGUGACUCUUUGCUCUAGUUUUCUCUGGACGUAUUAAUUGCUUUCUUUCAUUGACCAGGCUAGUUGUCAUGUCUGCAAAAGUUCACUCCUGCUUAAGCUUCAGUUCUGUAGCUUGGUACAGGCCUCUUGAAAAUGGCCCAGACUGGCAACAAGUGAUUAUACAUUUUCACUGAGCAUGCUGUGGUCAUUUAACAAGAACACAGUAUUCUUGUAAUAGGAUCCUACCAGGGGUCAGUAGGCUGGAUCUGGCCUGUGCAGCAACUGGAUCUGGAUCUGGCCCACAGAAUCCCAGGGCUUUGUUUGUGCCAAGCCUGUGCCUGCACUGGGGCCAGGCAACUUCCAGCUACCCUCUUGCCACUGCUACUUUUGACGCUUUCCCAGACCAUAGAAAAGAACAUUUUCAGUCUAGUUUUUGAAUCUCAGUGAAACAAAAAAAUUGAGACUGGAGUGUGCAGUGAAAUAUGAAAGUUUGCAUAUGGUACAAAAUUAUUCUGGGUAAUCAGUUCCCAAGCAGAUGGCGAGCUGAUGUCUGUGGUGUCUAUGCUCAAGUUCUUGCUGGUCCAGUCCUGUGCCCCAAGGCUCACGUUGAAGUCCUCAUGGGGCGCAUCUACCCAAGACGCUUACUGCACAUUAGCCUAAUAACACUGCGCAAUAGCGCAUCACAGCACAAACCGUGCUAAUCACCUACUGCACCUACUGUGCUAUGAGGCUAAUGCGCAGUAAGCAUCACUAAAUAACCGUGCGCUGGCACUACUGCACAGUAACUCCAGGUACUGAGCAUUUAGUCAGUACUUUAUUAAGCAAGUACUACAAUAAAUGCACAGUAUCUAAGUCGUGCACAUGGACAUAUAAACAUGAGCGCUGAGGACCAGGCACUCGUGAGGACUCAGGGUGCUGAGGUAGUGGGUUCUUGCUGAUCAGCGCUGUGAGUGGGGGUGCCGACCUUAGCCAGGUUCAAGAUAGCCCCUGCGUUUGGGCCCAGAGAUGGGCCAGGCAGCCAGCACCGCCUCAGCCAUUUGCAGGAUUUCCAUCUGCAGCCCUGGGGAGAACAGGGUUGCCCCAUCCUGUCUCUGUGGGGUGGCUGAAGUAGACCCUGUCCCCCAACUCCAGCUGCCACCUGGCUUCAGUUGUGGGGUCAUGUAAGUUUUCUGCAGGAAUAGUACAGAGUGCACCCCUGUCCAAAUGGACCUGAGGAGACCUGUCCUGCAGCCAUGGAUGCUGAGGCGGUGAUGGUGAGGGUCCUCAGGGCUGAGGGUUGCUGGGAGACUCAGUGGGGGCUCAUGAGGGACAGUGCCAGUCGCAGGGCCAGCAGCAACUGCAUUCUUCUUCUGCAGAUGAGACGGUGUUGUGAAAGCGGUGGGCCUGCUGGAAAUCUCUGCCAUUCUGCCUCCUGGGCCCCUUGCCCUCCCUCCCCAGAGCCUUCCUUCCUGGCACAAGGAUCUGGUGAUAAUCCCCACAGCCAUCCUGGUGAGCUGCACCUUGUUUCCAGAGUGCAGCGGGUUCUCCAGACUUGGUCAGGAAAUGCCACUGUUUCAUCAUGGAUGCUGCCAGUUUGCUUAAUUUUCCUUUCUGUUUUCCCUUCUGUACACGUAUGGAGAAUUAGAGUAAGUGUCCUGUCUUUAAUAAUGUGCAUUUGCAUUUCUAAUCCAUCAAAUGCUUAUCUUUGUUUUUAGAGAGUUCAUAGCCAAGGACUUACCAGUUUUUACUUAUGAUGAGAAGGGAGACCUGAUAACUGAUAAUCCAUAUAUUCAAGUUGCUUUGCCUGAACCCUGCAUCUUUUCUCGCUGUCUAAAGUAUAAAUAUGCUUGUAAAUUUGUAGAGGUCAGAGUUCCUUUGAGAACUCUCCCUGUGAUCACUUGUAUAGUUUUAAAUAAACCUAGAUGGCUCUGCCAAUUCUGA